This 72-nucleotide transfer RNA is filed under the name Toxocara canis (dog roundworm). It matches the Rfam family "tRNA". From Rfam's summary of the family: Transfer RNA (tRNA) molecules are approximately 80 nucleotides in length. Their secondary structure includes four short double-helical elements and three loops (D, anti-codon, and T loops). Lineage: Eukaryota; Metazoa; Nematoda; Chromadorea; Rhabditida; Toxocaridae. The record is from Rfam by way of RNAcentral.
GGAGUAGUAGCUCAAUGGUAGGGCUCCGGAUCCUCACGCGGGAAGACCUGGGUUCGAUUCCCGGCAGCUUCC